Molecule: ribosomal RNA, 577 nt
Filed under: uncultured Janthinobacterium sp.
Lineage: Bacteria; Pseudomonadati; Pseudomonadota; Betaproteobacteria; Burkholderiales; Oxalobacteraceae
Description: bacterial SSU rRNA
Rfam family: Bacterial small subunit ribosomal RNA
Source: RNAcentral
GGGGGAAGCUCAAAGCGAGUUGCACGGAUACUCGCGUGAUUGGAGAAGAGCCUUCGGGUUGUUGAGCUCUUUUGUCAGGGAAGAAACGGUGAGAGCUAAUAUCUCUUGCUAAUGACGGUACCUGAAGAAUAAGCACCGGCUAACUACGUGCCAGCAGCCGCGGUAAUACGUAGGGUGCAAGCGUUAAUCGGAAUUACUGGGCGUAAAGCGUGCGCAGGCGGUUUUGUAAGUCUGAUGUGAAAUCCCCGGGCUCAACCUGGGAAUUGCAUUGGAGACUGCAAGGCUAGAAUCUGGCAGAGGGGGGUAGAAUUCCACGUGUAGCAGUGAAAUGCGUAGAUAUGUGGAGGAACACCGAUGGCGAAGGCAGCCCCCUGGGUCAAGAUUGACGCUCAUGCACGAAAGCGUGGGGAGCAAACAGGAUUAGAUACCCUGGUAGUCCACGCCCUAAACGAUGUCUACUAGUUGUCGGGUCUUAAUUGACUUGGUAACGCAGCUAACGCGUGAAGUAGACCGCCUGGGGAGUCGGGUCGCAAGAUUAAAACUCAAGAAUUUUUUGCCGGGGAGGCUGCCUCCGGGG